RNAcentral lists this unclassified non-coding RNA (199 nucleotides) under uncultured fungus. RNAcentral describes it as "partial contains 18S rRNA, ITS1, 5.8S rRNA, ITS2 and 28S rRNA". The record is from RNAcentral. Lineage: Eukaryota; Fungi.
AAGGAUCAUUACAGAGUUCAUGCCCUCACGGGUAGAUCUCCCACCCUUGAAUAUUUUAUACCUUUGUUGCUUUGGCGGGCCGCUUCGGCUACCGGCUUCGGCUGGUGAGUGCCCGCCAGAGGACCCCAAAUUCUGAAUUAAGUGUCGUCUGAGUACUAUAAAAUAGUUAAAACUUUCAACAACGGAUCUCUUGGUUCUG